RNAcentral lists this ribosomal RNA (253 nucleotides) under uncultured bacterium. RNAcentral's name for it is "partial 16S ribosomal RNA". It matches the Rfam family "Bacterial small subunit ribosomal RNA", at positions 524 to 776 of the family's 1533-position model. The record is from RNAcentral.
UACGUAGGGUGCAAGCGUUAAUCGGAAUUACUGGGCGUAAAGCGUGCGCAGGCGGCUUUGCAAGACAGAUGUGAAAUCCCCGGGCUCAACCUGGGAACUGCAUUUGUGACUGCAAGGCUGGAGUGCGGCAGAGGGGGAUGGAAUUCCGCGUGUAGCAGUGAAAUGCGUAGAUAUGCGGAGGAACACCGAUGGCGAAGGCAAUCCCCUGGGCCUGCACUGACGCUCAUGCACGAAAGCGUGGGGAGCGAACAGG